UAACAUUGGUCAACAAAGUAUACCCGACCCGACCCAAAACAUGUAACUCUGUUCCCUCCGUAUCUUCUUCGCUUCUUCUGAGACUGACUAAACCAAAAACCCUUAUUUUUUAUAUUCUAUUUCUUCUUCUUUCUGCUUUCUCUCCACGCUUUUGCUUUUCUAAACACAACAACAAUGGCAUUAUUAAAGUCUCCAAAGAAACAUGUUAAUCUUUUCUACUCAA
RNAcentral lists this long non-coding RNA (223 nucleotides) under Trifolium pratense (red clover). RNAcentral describes it as "long non-coding RNA (TPRA_LNC008462)". The record is from RNAcentral. Lineage: Eukaryota; Viridiplantae; Streptophyta; Magnoliopsida; Fabales; Fabaceae.